GAUGAACGCUGGCGGCGUGCCUAAUACAUGCAAGUAGAACGCACGGUUUAUACCGUAGCUUGCUUCACCAUAAACGGUGAGUUGCGAACGGGUGAGUAACGCGUAGGUAACCUGCCUGGGAGCGGUUGAUAACUAUGGGAAACGAUAGCUAAUACCGCAUAAUAUUGAUUAUUGCAUGAUAAUUGAUUGAAAGAUGGUAUUGCAUCACUACCAGCUGGCCCCACCGUGUAUUAGCUAGUAGGUGAGGUAACGGCGCCCCCAGGCGACGAUACAUAGCCGAACUGGGAGGGGGAUCCGCCACCAUGGGAACGAGACACGGCCCAGACUCCUAACGGAGGCAGCAGUUGGGGAUCUUCGGCAAUGGACGAAAGUCCGACCGAGGAAAGGCGGGGGGGUGAAGGAAGUUUUCCGAUCGUAAAACCCUGUUGAUAGGGAAGAAAGAGAGUGGGAGUGAAAAGUUCACACUGUGACGGUACCUAAUCAGAAAGGGACGGCUAACUACGUG
This 505-nucleotide ribosomal RNA is filed under the name uncultured bacterium. Its description in RNAcentral is "partial 16S ribosomal RNA". It matches the Rfam family "Bacterial small subunit ribosomal RNA", at positions 28 to 507 of the family's 1533-position model. The record is from RNAcentral.